GUCUUGUCAGUGAUGACUUUAAACACAAAUGUCUGAACAAAUGAUUUACUAUGAUUCAUUUUUUCUAAACUGAGACAAGAC
Solea solea (common sole) is the source of this 81-nucleotide small nucleolar RNA. RefSeq annotates it as small nucleolar RNA SNORD72. The transcript has a single exon. The record is from RefSeq and is a predicted model, not a curated record. Lineage: Eukaryota; Metazoa; Chordata; Actinopteri; Pleuronectiformes; Soleidae.